Molecule: ribosomal RNA, 639 nt
Filed under: uncultured Ceratobasidiaceae
Lineage: Eukaryota; Fungi; Basidiomycota; Agaricomycetes; Cantharellales; Ceratobasidiaceae
Description: eukaryotic LSU rRNA
Rfam family: 5.8S ribosomal RNA (bases 220-373)
Source: RNAcentral
AAGUCGUAACAAGGUUUCCGUAGGUGAACCUGCGGAAGGAUCAUUAUUGAAUGAAUGUAGAGUCGGUUGUCGCUGGCCCCUUCGGGGGCAUGUGCACGCCUUCUCUUUCAUCCACACACACCUGUGCACUCGUGAGACGGAAGCCCUCGGGCGUCCGUCUGCUCUACAUAAACUCAUAUCUAUAAUUUGAAUGUAAUUGAUGUAACACAUCUUUAAACUAAGUUUCAACAACGGAUCUCUUGGCUCUCGCAUCGAUGAAGAACGCAGCGAAAUGCGAUAAGUAAUGUGAAUUGCAGAAUUCAGUGAAUCAUCGAAUCUUUGAACGCACCUUGCGCUCCUUGGUAUUCCUUGGAGCAUGCCUGUUUGAGUAUCAUGAAAUUAUCAAAAUAAUUCUUUCGUUCAUUCGAUUGAAUUUUAUUUUGGACUUGGAGGUCUGCAGAUUCACGUCUGCUCCUCUUAAAUAAAUUAGCUGGAUCUCAGUGAGCUCGGUUCCACUCGGCGUGAUAAGUAUCACUCGCUGAGGACACUGUAAAAAGGUGGCCGGGAUUGCGGAUGAACCGCUUCUAAUCGUCCAUUCGCUUGGACAACAAUACUUUAUGAUCUGAUCUCAAAUCAGGUAGGACUACCCGCUGAACUUAA